UACGUAGGGGGCGAGCGUUGUCCGGAGUUACUGGGCGUAAAGGGCAUGCAGGCGGUCGGACGCGUUUCGGGUGACAGCGGGUGGCUUAACUACCCGAGUGGUCGAAAGACGGUUUGACUUGAGGACGCGAGAGGGACACGGAAUUCCGGGUGGAGUGGUGAAAUGCGUAGAGAUCCGGAGGAACACCGAAGGCGAAGGCAGGGUCCUGGCGCGUAACUGACGCUGAGGUGCGAAAGCCAGGGGAGCGAACGGG
Molecule: ribosomal RNA, 253 nt
Filed under: uncultured bacterium
Lineage: Bacteria
Description: partial 16S ribosomal RNA
Rfam family: Bacterial small subunit ribosomal RNA
Source: RNAcentral